CGGGCGGCAGUAGGCUCUGCUACCAGCUCAGGAAGAGUACUGGAUUGCAACCCAAAAUCACUUCGAGGCUUGGGACUUUUCUUUUUGCUUUUCUGAGGGAAGAGUCGAGGAAUAAAACAUGCAGGUUGGAUGCAAACUGAUGAUGGCUCAAUACAGGCAGGCUGGACACAGAAUGCAGCUCGUUUUGAUGGGUCAGAAUCGUAUGAAGUUUUUAUCAGGGUGGGUGACACUGCACAUCUUAGUGAAAGGUCGAAAUCCGAGAGCAUUAUGUGGCCAUCAUCGCG
RNAcentral lists this long non-coding RNA (284 nucleotides) under Cucumis sativus (cucumber). RNAcentral's name for it is "long non-coding RNA (CSAT_LNC000896)". Lineage: Eukaryota; Viridiplantae; Streptophyta; Magnoliopsida; Cucurbitales; Cucurbitaceae. The record is from RNAcentral.